AGAGUUUGAUCCUGGCUCAGAUUGAACGCUGGCGGCAUGGCUAAGACAUGCAAGUCGAACGCGAAAGGGGCUUCGGCCCCGAGUAGAGUGGCGAAAGGGCGAGGAAUACGUUUCUAUGUGCCCCGAGGUCGAGGAUAGCCCAGGGAAACUUGGUUUAAUACUCGAUGUGGUCUACGGAUCAAAGGUUUACUGCCUCGGGAGCGGGGAACGUCCUAUCAGGUUGUUGGUGAGGUAAAGGCUCACCAAGCCUUAGACGGGUAGCGGGUGUGAGAGCAUGACCCGCCGCAUCGGGACUGAGACACUGCCCGGACUCCUACGGGAGGCUGCAGUAACGAAUAUUCCGCAAUGCGCGAAAGCGUGACGGAGCAAUGCCGCGUGCAGGAUGAAUCCCCUCGGGGUGUAAACUGCUGUCAGGGUUUAGGAAGAUCUGACCAAACCCAAAGGAAGGGCCGGCUAACUUCGUGCCAGCAGCCGCGGUAAUACGAAGGGCCCGAGCGUUAUUCGGAAUCACUGGGCUUAAAGCGUACGCAGGCGGACACGCAGGCAUCUUGUGAAAUCCCACCGCUCAACGGUGGAACUGCAGGGUGAACCGCGUGCCUUGAGACAGGUAGGGGCCAUCGGAACGAUAGGUGGAGUGGUGAAAUGCGUUGAUAUCUAUCGGAACGCCGAAGGAGAAAUCAGAUGGCUGGGCCUGUUCUGACGCUGAGGUACGAAAGCGUGGGGAGCGAACGGGAUUAGAUACCCCGGUAGUCCACGCCGUANACGAUGUGCACUAGGUCGAGGGAGUUCUGACACUGCUCUCGGCCGAAGCAAAAGUGUUAAGUGCACCGCCUGGGGGAGUACGGUCGCAAGGC
This 854-nucleotide ribosomal RNA is filed under the name uncultured Planctomycetota bacterium. RNAcentral's name for it is "bacterial SSU rRNA". It matches the Rfam family "Bacterial small subunit ribosomal RNA", at positions 8 to 894 of the family's 1533-position model. Lineage: Bacteria; Pseudomonadati; Planctomycetota. The record is from RNAcentral.